RNAcentral lists this ribosomal RNA (496 nucleotides) under uncultured bacterium. RNAcentral's name for it is "partial 16S ribosomal RNA". It matches the Rfam family "Bacterial small subunit ribosomal RNA", at positions 29 to 507 of the family's 1533-position model. The record is from RNAcentral.
AUGAACGCUGGCGGCGUGCCUCAUACAUGCAAGUCGAGCGAACAGAUGAGGAGCUUGCUCCUCUGACGUUAGCGGCGGACGGGUGAGUAACACGUGGAUAACCUACCUAUAAGACUGGGAUAACUUCGGGAAACCGGAGCUAAUACCGGAUAAUAUAUUGAACCGCAUGGUUCAAUAGUGAAAGACGGUUUUGCUGUCACUUAUAGAUGGAUCCGCGCCGCAUUAGCUAGUUGGUAAGGUAACGGCUUACCAAGGCAACGAUGCGUAGCCGACCUGAGAGGGUGAGCGGCCACACUGGAACUGAGACACGGUCCAGACUCCUACGGGAGGCAGCAGUAGGGAAUCUUCCGCAAUGGGCGAAAGCCUGACGGAGCAACGCCGCGUGAGUGAUGAAGGUCUUCGGAUCGUAAAACUCUGUUAUUAGGGAAGAACAAAUGUGUAAGUAACUAUGCACGUCUUGACGGUACCUAAUCAGAAAGCCACGGCUAACUACGUG